Molecule: ribosomal RNA, 491 nt
Filed under: uncultured bacterium
Lineage: Bacteria
Description: partial 16S ribosomal RNA
Rfam family: Bacterial small subunit ribosomal RNA
Source: RNAcentral
AGUGAACGCUGGCGGUAGGCCUAACACAUGCAAGUCGAACGGCAGCACAGUAAGAGCUUGCUCUUACGGGUGGCGAGUGGCGGACGGGUGAGGAAUACAUCGGAAUCUACUUUUUCGUGGGGGAUAACGUAGGGAAACUUACGCUAAUACCGCAUACGACCUACGGGUGAAAGCAGGGGAUCUUCGGACCUUGCGCGAUUGAAUGAGCCGAUGUCGGAUUAGCUAGUUGGCGGGGUAAAGGCCCACCAAGGCGACGAUCCGUAGCUGGUCUGAGAGGAUGAUCAGCCACACUGGAACGGAGAAACGGUCCAGACUCCUAGGGGAGGCAGAAGAGGGAAAUAUUGGACAAUGGGCGCAAGCCUGAGCCAGCCAUACCGCGUGGGGAAAGAAGGCCUUCGGGUUGUAAAGCCCUUUUGUUGGGAAAGAAAAGCAGCAGGUUAAUACCCCGCUGUUCUGACGGUACCCAAAGAAUAAGCACCGGCUAAUUUCGU